UACGAAGGGGGCUAGCGUUGUUCGGAUUUACUGGGCGUAAAGCGCGUGUAGGCGGGUCGUUAAGUUAGGGGUGAAAUCCCAAGGCUCAACCUUGGAACUGCCUCUAAAACUGGCGACCUGGAGCAGAUGAGAGGCGAGUGGAAUUCCGAGUGUAGAGGUGAAAUUCGUAGAUAUUCGGAGGAACACCAGUGGCGAAGGCGACUCGCUGGCAUCUUGCUGACGCUGAGACGCGAAAGCGUGGGGAGCAAACACG
Molecule: ribosomal RNA, 253 nt
Filed under: uncultured bacterium
Lineage: Bacteria
Description: partial 16S ribosomal RNA
Rfam family: Bacterial small subunit ribosomal RNA
Source: RNAcentral